This 520-nucleotide ribosomal RNA is filed under the name uncultured Glomus. RNAcentral's name for it is "SSU rRNA". It matches the Rfam family "Eukaryotic small subunit ribosomal RNA", at positions 569 to 1092 of the family's 1831-position model. The record is from RNAcentral. Lineage: Eukaryota; Fungi; Glomeromycota; Glomeromycetes; Glomerales; Glomeraceae.
AGCAGCCGCGGUAAUUCCAGCUCCAAUAGCGUAUAUUAAAGUUGCUGCAGUUAAAAAGCUCGUAGUUGAAUUUCGGGACCAUCAUGUCGGUCGUACCUCGGUACGUACUGGCAUUAUUGAUUUCUCCCUUCUGAAGAACCUUGAUGUCAUUAAUUUGGUGUCUUGGGGAAUCAGGACCGUUACUUUGAAAAAAUUAGAGUGUUUAAAGCAGGCUCACGCUUGAAUACAUUAGCAUGGAAUAAUGAAAUAGGACGUUUGAUUCUAUUUUGUUGGUUUCUAGGAUCGACGUAAUGAUUAAUAGGGAUAGUUGGGGGCAUUAGUAUUCAAUUGUCAGAGGUGAAAUUCUUGGAUUUAUUGAAGACUAACUACUGCGAAAGCACUUGCCAAGGAUGUUUUCAUUAAUCAAGAACGAAAGUUAGGGGAUCGAAGACGAUCAGAUACCGUCGUAGUCUUAACCAUAAACUAUGCCGACUAGGGAUCGGAUGAUGUUAAUUUUUAAUGACUCAUUCGGCGCCUUACG